Phrynosoma platyrhinos (Desert horned lizard) is the source of this 72-nucleotide non-coding RNA. NCBI's taxonomy places the organism in Eukaryota, Metazoa, Chordata, Lepidosauria, Squamata, Phrynosomatidae. The record is from the annotation of a GenBank genome assembly.
GCUAGCGUGGUGUAGUGGUUUGAGUGUUGGAUUACGACUCUGGAGAUCAGGAUUCGAUUCCCUGCUCGGCCA